Molecule: small RNA, 177 nt
Filed under: Chrysemys picta bellii (western painted turtle)
Lineage: Eukaryota; Metazoa; Chordata; Testudines; Emydidae
Description: TUC338 (ENSCPBG00000012952.1)
Source: RNAcentral
UCAACAGCCCUGGACUCGGACGUUCACUGUUCUUAGACAAAACUGGCCAGCAGAGAUAGUAGCAGUGCAAUCUUACCCUCACUGUCCUACCAAUGUGCCUCUUCCCUGUCCUGGAGGAAACACUUCUAGAGGUUAGAAGACAGUUCAGUCUCUGUACACAUUCAUUCUUUAGCCUCU